AUUGAACGCUGGCGGCAGGCCUAACACAUGCAAGUCGAGCGGAGCGGCGGACGGGUGAGUAAUGCCUAGGAAUCUGCCUGGUAGUGGGGGAUAACGUCCGGAAACGGGCGCUAAUACCGCAUACUCUCAGAUGAGCCUAGGUUGGAUUAGCUAGUUGGUGGGGUAACGGCCUACCCAGGCGACGAUCCGUAACUGGUCCGAGAGGAUGAUCAGACACACUGGAACUGAGACACGGUCCAGACGCCUACGUGAGGCAGCAGUGGGGAAUAGUGGACAAUGGGCGAAAGCCUGAUGCAGCCAUGCCGCGUGUGUGAAGAAGGUCUUCGGAUUGUAAAGCACUUUAAGCUGGGAGGCGUUACCGUCAGAAUAAGCACCGGCUAACUUCGUGCCAGCAGCCGCGGUAAUAC
RNAcentral lists this ribosomal RNA (407 nucleotides) under uncultured bacterium. Its description in RNAcentral is "partial 16S ribosomal RNA". It matches the Rfam family "Bacterial small subunit ribosomal RNA", at positions 30 to 526 of the family's 1533-position model. The record is from RNAcentral.